AGCAAGUAUAAAACGCCAAAAGACAGUUGGAUAGCCUGUACAAUCUCACAUGAAAGGAAGCCCUGUUGAUGACAUUACAGAAGAAAAAUUAAAAAUAAUGCAGGGAUCCUCUUCUUUUUUAGCCAUUUAUGAUCAUGUGACUUGGUACUUUUUUCUCUAAUCAAACGCAGAGUGGGGUUGGGGUUCCCUCCCCCCACACCCACUUGCUUAUUCACUCACUCACCUCAAAAAGCUAAAGAAUUUAUGAUAUGCUUCCGUUUAUAAUGUUUUCUUGUUAUUUCACAUCUCCAGACUCUAACUUCUUUGAACCUAAAUCUUUUCUUGUAUACUCAAAUGGAAUUCUCCAAAUACGUUGGAGUUGCUGAAGAGUGUAGCAGCAGUGAAUCAGGAUGGACCAUGUACAUUGUUUCUCCCAUGCAUGAAACCAGUUACAACCAUCAUCAUGAUCAUGUUGAUGAUGAGAUUUAUGAGAGUCAUGGUGAUUAUAGCACAUACCAUAAUGCAGAUAGUGAUGAUUCCAUGGUCUCAGAUGCCUCUUCUGGUCCAAUUCGUCAAGGAAUCUUGCGUGGAAGCUCAAAGAGACGUGAGUCCAAGCAUGCAGUGAAAAGAAACCUGUUGGGAAAGAAUGAAAGGCAAGUUGAGAAGAAGUUAUAUGAGAGAAGGCAAAGAGCUGAGAAAGAAGAACACAAGACAAGGGGUGAAAAUAAGGCAAGGACGAUUAAUUAGGUUGUGUCCGGUUUAAUUUGUUCCUUAAUUUUUAUCUGUUUUUAUGGAAUUUCAAGACCCUGAUAUAAGGGGUGGAAUCCAUUUUCAUGCACAUACAUUUGUUGUUUCAGUAUGUUGAAAUCAAGGUGCCAAGAAUCGAAGCUAAUGCACGUAAAAACAUGAUAUUACACUACAAAACUGUGUUCGUGCUCAUUGAUGUGAUUGAUAACAUUAUGAUUUCACAUGAACAUGAACAUGCAUUUGGUUAGAAAGUAAAUGAACAUAUAUAGAUAACUGUAGAACCUACCGAGUAUUACGAUCAUUGCAUUGCAGAAACAUCUGUAGGACCAAAAAUGACCAAUAUGAUGAUCCAGCAAGAUUCAGGAUAUGAGAUUGCCAACAAUGGAGAAAGCAUUUGGAAUUUAUGAUAUAGAGUUCACUAAAAGAAAAAAAAUUGUUUGCAAUAAUAUAUUGUCUAAAAUGUAGAUUCCCUUGUUAAAAGUGAGCUUGCAAUGGAAUUUAAGGAGGAAAAGUCCAC
This 1243-nucleotide long non-coding RNA is filed under the name Lactuca sativa (garden lettuce). Its description in RNAcentral is "long non-coding RNA (LSAT_LNC002795)". The record is from RNAcentral. Lineage: Eukaryota; Viridiplantae; Streptophyta; Magnoliopsida; Asterales; Asteraceae.